Molecule: non-coding RNA, 1753 nt
Organism: Peromyscus maniculatus bairdii (prairie deer mouse)
Lineage: Eukaryota; Metazoa; Chordata; Mammalia; Rodentia; Cricetidae
Source: RefSeq, a predicted model, not a curated record
GCUGGGAGGGAAGGGGUAGAUUAUUCUACUUAUGGCAGUUUUCCCAUGGCCAGGCUACCCGACCCCUUCUCAUAGCCACCAGAGAAGAAUCUAGACACCUGUGGUUCUCCAGUGCACAGCAUAGGUAACCUCAGUGCCAAAGCUGGGCUUCUAUGCCUGCAACAGUACAGCGAAACGAGGCGGUGACCCGGGUGUAUAUGUGUGUGUGUGUGUGUGUGUGUGUGUGCGCGCAAUAGCUUCUCACUUGGCUUCUUAAUGGAUCUCUGAAACUCAAUCUGCACAGCCCUCAGCCCCAACUGCCACAGCCCAUUGAGAUGGGCCCCUCUAGCACUCACCUCCUGCCUUCUCCAGGUAGCACAAGGUCUCCUAAAUCAUGGGGCUGGUACUGUCAGCAAGGUCUAGCAUCCGGCUCCUCACAGCCUAAGAUCUAAGCCUUAGGAUGUGAGCCCCACUCCAUGCCGGGUACUUAAUGAAUCCUAGUGGGCUAAUGGAGCUGCUUCAAGUCUCAGCUGCAGCACUGCACUCCUAAGGUGCUGCAGUCCUGAGGCUUGAGCUCAGUCCUCGGAGCCUGGUGGAGGUGUAGACAAAGCUGGGCUGGUCAAGUUCCAGCUACUGACACUAUUCCUAUUCAGGUCCUCUGCAGGCCCUUGGAUCCCUGUUUGAUGCUCGGCUAGCUGGCUUGGCAGUCCUGAAGCUUUGGCCUCUGCCUCUGCCUCACCCCAUGACCCUUCUAUAACCUGAGCAGACCACCACCACAUCAGCUCUACCAUCUAUAUGGACACAUAGCCCACCUCUUAUGAGCAGAGCACCAGCUGAUCACUGCAUUCUCUAGAUGGGAGCAUUCAGCCAAUAAGAGUAUCACCAGCUCCUUGGGGAGGGCCCCAAAUCGCACACCAAGUCCCAAGAACCAUCAUGGUGGUCGUGCAGUACCAUGAGCAGGUGAGGAAGUGGCCAGCAACAGACAGCUGAGGGGAGACUGGAAACUGACCUCCAACUCCAGGCCCUGUGUGCUGGCAUAGGGGAGUAGUAAUUCUACAAGGAGCCAGACACAAGAUGUUUUGUCAGCCAAGGUUAACUUAGGCCCCUCAGAAGACAACCUGAACAGCUAUCCUGCCUGAAGGAAAGGCUUAUGCCCCAGAUAGAGCAGACCUUGUAUCCACUGGCAAUGAUGGGAUCCUCUAACGCCAAGGCAAUCCACUGACUCAGGAGUCAGGGUAUGAGGUCAAUCUACCUAGGACAGGAGGGAGGGGCCAGGGACACCAGGAACUCGCUGCCAUCUGACUACACGGCACAGCAAACUCAUCGCAUCACAGGCAUGAGUAUCGCUGCUUCCACCCCCCAGUGAUGACUGAGAGGCAGGAACAGGCACACAGGCUGUUCCAGGGUACCCUGUCAUUGGGUGUAGCUGAAAAUUUGGGCUGACCCCUCAAGUUCAGAGGCCUCCCAGAACUGCAGGGACACUGCUGACCCAGUCAGUAACUCUGUGGCUUCCAAGUAUCCUCACACCCUGGUGAUCCCAUGGGCUUCUAGAAGGGACUCUGUUGCAGGGAGGUAUGACAUCAGAGCAGAGGCAAUACAGGGCAGAGCCAGAAUACCAGUCCAGUAUAGCAAGACGAAUCAAGAGCCACCCCCAAGAGCCUAGUCAGGUGCCUUAAGCUGGUAUCUACCCUGUGCCCUACAUUCCUGGGCCUCCUGUGCUCAGAAUCUACAACAAAGCAACUCUUAGAAAUUUGAACUUAUGGAUUUAAAAAUU